CAGUCGCCACGGUAAUACAGAGGGUGCGAGCGUUAAUCGGAUUUACUGGGCGUAAAGCGUGCGUAGGCGGCUUCUUAAGUCGGAUGUGAAAUCCCUGAGCUUAACUUAGGAAUUGCAUUCGAUACUGGGAAGCUAGAGUAUGGGAGAGGAUGGUAGAAUUCCAGGUGUAGCGGUGAAAUGCGUAGAGAUCUGGAGGAAUACCGAUGGCGAAGGCAGCCAUCUGGCCUAAUACUGACGCUGAGGUACGAAAGCGUGGGGAGCAAACAGGAUUAGAUACCCCCGUAGUCCCUGUCUCUUAUAC
This 301-nucleotide ribosomal RNA is filed under the name uncultured bacterium. Its description in RNAcentral is "partial 16S ribosomal RNA". It matches the Rfam family "Bacterial small subunit ribosomal RNA", at positions 509 to 807 of the family's 1533-position model. The record is from RNAcentral.